Molecule: transfer RNA, 90 nt
Filed under: Candidatus Uhrbacteria bacterium CG_4_10_14_0_2_um_filter_41_7
Lineage: Bacteria; Candidatus Uhriibacteriota
Also listed under: 2 other names
Description: tRNA-Ser
Rfam family: tRNA
About the family: Transfer RNA (tRNA) molecules are approximately 80 nucleotides in length. Their secondary structure includes four short double-helical elements and three loops (D, anti-codon, and T loops). Further hydrogen bonds mediate the characteristic L-shaped molecular structure. tRNAs have two regions of fundamental functional importance: the anti-codon, which is responsible for specific mRNA codon recognition, and the 3' end, to which the tRNAs corresponding amino acid is attached (by aminoacyl-tRNA synthetases). tRNAs cope with the degeneracy of the genetic code in two manners: having more than one tRNA (with a specific anti-codon) for a particular amino acid; and 'wobble' base-pairing, i.e. permitting non-standard base-pairing at the 3rd anti-codon position.
Source: RNAcentral
GGAGAGAUGGCUGAGUGGUUGAAGGCGCACGCUUGGAAAGCGUGUGAGGGUUAACGCCCUCCGCAGGUUCGAAUCCUGUUCUCUCCGCCA